UCAAGAUUUACACUAUCUUCCCCGUUUCUGCUUAGUUCCAAUUUUGGUUGUGUUGAUUCAUCAUUUAGCUGCGGCAUGGAAGAAAAUUCAUAAUCUUUUCCUUUGCCCCAUAUCACAAGGUAAAGUCCUGCACAUAUAACCGCCGCACCAAGAACCCUGCCAAAGAAAAAAAAUAUUCAAUGAUAAUAAUUAAAUUUCGUUAUUUAAACUCGUGACUAAUGUUGUUGUUUGGUAUCUUGCUUACCUUCCCAGGUACAUCUGCUCAGCAAAGAUGACAGUUGACAUAAUCGCUACUAUGAUAAUGCAAAGAGGACUAAAAGCUGUUACAAACACAGGGCCUCUGGUUUUCAUCACCAGUCCUCCAACAUAGUAUGCAAUCGCCGAGCACACUAUCCCCUGCAUGUAUCUUACAUUGAAGUUGUAACUUGUAAACAUAAUUAACUUUCAAGACAGUCAUUAACCACUAAUUUACUGAGACAUGUCUAAAUCUUACACUGUAGGUAGAUGUUAGAAGUUUAGUGUCCCAACCAAUGGCCCACGCGCCAGGGUUUCCUUUCUCCAUCACUAAUGCCACGGCAGUUCCUUCUAUUGUUCCCAUCAAACAUAUCCAUGCUGUGAGUGAGAGUUCAGCUGGAUAAGUCCUCAACGUGACAGCCUGGAAAAAAGAUUUAUCGUCAAAAUAUAUUAACAAAUAUCUUAUUUUAUAUAAGAAAAUCGUCUUACUUGGAGAAUCAUGAAACAUGCAUAGCUGAAACAACCAAUUGUGACCAAAACUGCGCCUUUGAUAGCACUAUGAAUAUCGGUCCCAUCUGUGUUUUGUGCUGAGGCUACUUUGGUCCAGAAGAGGUCUAGAACUGGACCUUUUACAAGAGUCAUAAUCAUGGCUCCUCCAACUGUAGCCAAUGUUCCAAUCACCUUACCGGCGCUCCUGAUGCACCUUAGUUUCACUCUUUCAAGGCCGAAUAUAUAGGCAAGGACGAACGUGAUUGCAGGUAAGACAUUGUACAUGGCGGUUGCAAAUGUAGCCGUUGUAUAUUUCAUCCCCAGGUAGUAUAAGUUUUGAUCGAUCACUGGCCUAUUAUAUUUCAAAGACACAUGAUAGGAAAAAAACAAAUCAGUCUCAAGUAAUAGAAGAGACGUGUGGGAGGAAUGAAGAUGAAUAAAAUGAGAUAUUACUCAAGUAAACCAAGAAGUGUGAUCUUGAAGAAUAUCAUUAACGUCAUCUUAGGUCUCACCUUCCUGUUUUUUUUUCAACAUCAUAAUCCAUUAAAUACAUUAGAAAGGACUAUUAAUUUUUCAACCGAAAAGACAGCAUUCUCAACAUAAACAUCAUAAGCAACAAGGUAUAUUAGAAAGUUGCACACUUAUUUUUCAACCAUAAGUUGCACAUUAGAAAUGUGAAAUGCUCUUCAAGAAUGACGGUAACAGAAGCCACAGAAAACCAAAGAUAGAAUCGUUGCAAGUGUUUUGUCCUUUAAGAUAUGACUGACCCCUUCUUAUCGUAUAACUACGUCACAAGCCUCAAUCUUUCUUUUUGCUACUUUUCCUUUCAAUUCACUAAACGUCUAUGCAUAAUUCAUUAAAAGAUCGAUCAUUUUAAAAAAAACGGAUAACAAUUGUUUCAUUAUUUAAAAUAGAAUCCGUUUUGUUUAUCAAGGUCACAAUUGUUUGCUUCUCCACUUAUAAUGAUUAACAGGUAUCAAAACAUGGAAACAAAAACGUUAAAGACUGGUAAUGCAAAUUCGAUUUCCAAAAUAGAUAAACUAAAAUGAUAUUCUACUAUCAUGGUCUUGAAACUACAAACCGUUGAACUAUGUUUGUCAAAUAAACUAUUCUAAAGAAGGGAAAGUAGAGAGUACUUGUCGAAAUAUAAGGCAAACGGGGCCAUAACCACGGUAGCAACGGCAUGACGGUAAACAACAAGGACGUAAUUGCUCAUGCCUUUGUUUAAGACAGCUUUUGAGAGAAUGUCCAUUCCUGCUAGUCCUACUUGCAACAAUACCAUUGAAAUGAAUUUUUAAACGAACCAUUACCAAAACUUGAUAUUUAAAUUAUAUUAAACCAACAAGGACGCUAAAUUAAGAAUCUCGGCCUUUUCUAAAAGACCUUUGUCUUUUUUCUUAUGUUGGUUUGCAGUUUUAAUGAUUCUUUGUUAUAAUAACUCCAGUGACUGGAUUAAGAUGUGAUUUUGGAGCUGACUGGGAUUAAGAGAUCUAAGGACGUUGCAGGCAAAAAAAACUGAGACAUACCCUUGCUUGCAGUCUCCGUACUGAGAAUAUCGUUCAAGAAGGGAAGCCAUGAAACAAAGCAUAUUACGGAGAUCAUAUUUAAUUGUUUAGCUAAGAAAACUAAAUAAUAAAAAUGGUGGUUGAUUGUUUUGUACAAUUUAUUGUUCUAAUUGGCAAUCAUGUUGAAGGAAAAAAAUUAAACAGACAAAUUCUACUAUUUUCUUUUAAAUUCUUCAUGGAACCUAAAUAAGAAAGAGUACUCAAUAAGAAUAACAUAAAUUAAGAAAAAGUACAUAUAUUUUAUAAUUGCAUUACUGUAAAAAGAGUUGAGCAUAAUUAAAAAUUAAGAAUAAUAGUUAAAACUUUAUUAGAUUAGAGUGUACACAAUCUUUCUCGUUCCUUCCAAGUUUUGUUUUGAUAGUAGUUGAAAAUUAUAGGUAUAGAGAUGUCCGUCAGAAAAAUUUAAGACUGCAUAUACUUGUAUGAACUUAUAAUCUUUCACAUGACAAUGAUUUGACCAGGGAAUCACUUCUUCUCACCGCGCCUGGCUUCUUUCUUCUUCUUCCUGCCAGCUCCAACAUCUUUCGUUUUCUUUCUUCUCUGCCGUCAACAACUUCUUUCUUCUUCUAGCCACCCUCUGUUUUCUUCUCUCCAACUUCCCUUCCUUCUUUGUCUCUUUCUCCUUCAGCCGAGACUUUUUUCUUUAAGGCGGGAGGGGUGGCACAGUCUUUGACCAGAAGAAGAGAUUGAUGGUUCAUUGAGUUUUUGGCCAGUAAAAGCACAAGUUCUUUAACAUCCAUUGUUCCAUUGACAGUACCAUGUCUUUGGCUGCAUCAAUUGCCACCGUUUCGAUCCCUAGUUCAAAUAUGUAAUAUACAUUUAUUAGCAUUAGAAGUUACUUUUAGCUUUAAUUUGGAUUAGAAUAAUCUUAAAUAGUGAUGCUUCCUUUCAUGAGCACAAUUCCUCUACAUAUUCAGACAGAGAGACUCACUCAUCAACACCACUGUCCAAACUAAAAUUAAGCAGAUAAGGAAGCCAAUUAAUAUAAAGCUCUUACAUUUUCUGACGGAUUCAUUCUGCAUGAAAAGGAUCCAGCAAAAGGCUUUUUCCUUCCAUUUUCUAUGGUCAAUAGAAACAGAACAAUAAAAAAAAGAAGUAGAAUACAGAUUCUUCCGGAAGGAAAAAUGCUUCACAAAAUCAAACAGGGGUGAUGAUUUCAAACAGUUGUGAAUGUUAUUUCAUCGACAGUUUUAAGUAUUAGGCCAAUGGUUCAAGGGAAAAAGAUCCAAACUUUUUACUCAGACGCCAAUUUUUUUUGUUGGGAGAGACGAAGACUUGUAAUCUGCAUCUGAACCUCUUCUCCUCGCAGGUUCUCGCCUCUUCAUUUCCAUGCUAAUCUAAGCAAACCCUUGUUGCAAUUUUGUCAAAUUUAAUCUCUAUUUCGGUAGAUUUAACGAUUUGAAGAAACCCUCUGAUGAAGAAGUUUUAUGGAGGGUUUCUCUUUUAUCACCUAACCAAAGCUGCAAGGGUUCUCUUCUCUUGCAGAGUUGCGAAGCUCUUUAAGAAGAUCACACAAGAGAGCCUGCCUGAGCUAGUGAUUGAUUUGCUUGCGCCAAGUUUUGCAGCUUUUAGAUGAUCCUUAAUUGAUUCUCUUUAAACCAUGGGAGAGUGGGUCAUUGGAGUUUUGAUUUUUUUGCAUCUGAUCCAAAAUUGGCGUCUGACAUGAAAUUGUUGCUCCGAAGAGAUUUCUCUACUUCCAGGCUCCAUUUUUUGAACACGACAUCAAACGACUCUUGGAUCUUUUGACUCUGUUUCAUUUCAAUCAAUGGGAAAGUAUGAGUACGUUUAGGAACGCAAAAGACGGGAAGAGGAAAGGAAAACCACAAUCGUAAAGCAAAAAUAUCGAUUGCUGACAUGGCAUUAGUUUUGCAUCUGAUUGGUUGUUUUUUUCUGCCCAUGUGGAUAGCUUAGCUAUUGAGGAUAUGCAACUUUUAGUAUAGUAUAGAUUUUCCUCCCAUGAUAGUUAGCAGUUCUAUCCUACAGUUGCUCUGAAACAUAGUGAACAACAUAUGAAAGUGGUAUACGUCUCGUCUCCUCCACGCAAGACAUAUUGUGCCCUCAUUGUAUUACAAUUAGACUGUUUCUACAAAUGUGUUCUCCUUUGUUCUCCUUGAUUGUUGAUAGUAAUGACUUCAAGAUUUACACUACCUUUCCCGUUUCUGCUUAGUUCCAAUUUUGGUUGUGUUGAUUCAUCAUUUAGCUGCGGCAUGGAAGAAAAUUCAUAAUCUUUUCCUUUGCCCCAUAUCACAAGGUAAAGUCCUGCACAUAUAACCGCCGCACCAAGAACCCUGCCAAAGAAAAAAAAUAUUCAAUGAUAAUAAUUAAAUUUCGUUAUUUAAACU
Molecule: long non-coding RNA, 4630 nt
Filed under: Brassica napus (rape)
Lineage: Eukaryota; Viridiplantae; Streptophyta; Magnoliopsida; Brassicales; Brassicaceae
Description: long non-coding RNA (BNAP_LNC003752)
Source: RNAcentral